RNAcentral lists this ribosomal RNA (253 nucleotides) under uncultured bacterium. RNAcentral's name for it is "partial 16S ribosomal RNA". It matches the Rfam family "Bacterial small subunit ribosomal RNA", at positions 524 to 776 of the family's 1533-position model. The record is from RNAcentral.
UACAGAGGUGGCAAGCGUUGUUCGGAAUUACUGGGCGUAAAGGGCGCGUAGGCGGUCUUGCAAGUCCUGUGUGAAAUCCCUCGGCUCAACUGAGGAACUGCACAGGAAACUGCUUGGCUUGAGUUCGGGAGAGGGAAGCGGAAUUCCGGGUGUAGCGGUGAAAUGCGCAGAUAUCAGGAGGAACACCGAUGGCGAAGGCAGGUCUCUGGGCAUUAACUGACGCUGAGGAGCGAAAGCAUGGGGAGCGAACAGG